RNAcentral lists this transfer RNA (71 nucleotides) under Loxodonta africana (African savanna elephant). It matches the Rfam family "tRNA". Rfam says of the family: Transfer RNA (tRNA) molecules are approximately 80 nucleotides in length. Their secondary structure includes four short double-helical elements and three loops (D, anti-codon, and T loops). Further hydrogen bonds mediate the characteristic L-shaped molecular structure. tRNAs have two regions of fundamental functional importance: the anti-codon, which is responsible for specific mRNA codon recognition, and the 3' end, to which the tRNAs corresponding amino acid is attached (by aminoacyl-tRNA synthetases). tRNAs cope with the degeneracy of the genetic code in two manners: having more than one tRNA (with a specific anti-codon) for a particular amino acid; and 'wobble' base-pairing, i.e. permitting non-standard base-pairing at the 3rd anti-codon position. Lineage: Eukaryota; Metazoa; Chordata; Mammalia; Proboscidea; Elephantidae. The record is from Rfam by way of RNAcentral.
GCAGUGGUAGUUCAGUGGUAGAAUUUUUGCCAUCCGUACAAGAGAACCAGGUUCAAUUCCUGGCUAAUGCA